AGCCUGCCCACUGAAUUAUUUUUAAAGGGCCGCGGUAUACUGACCGUGCGAAGGUAGCAUAAUCAUUAGUCUUUUAAUUGAAGGCUUGUAUGAAUGGUUGGACAAAAAGUAAUCUGUCUCAGUUAUAAUAGUUGAACUUAACUUUUAAGUGAAAAGGCUUAAAUACUUUAAGGGGACGAUAAGACCCUAUAAAACUUAACAAUAAUUUGAUUAAAUUAUAAAUUGUUAGUAUAACUUGAUUUUAAUUAAUGUUUGUUGCGUUGGGGCGACGGGAAUAUAAUUAGUAACUGUUCUUAAAUAUUUUAUUAACAAGUAUAAUUGAAGAAUAAUUGAUCCUUUAUUAAAGAUUAAAAGAUUAAGUUACUUUAGGGAUAACAGCGUAAUCUUCUUUGAGAGUCCUCAUCGACAAGAAGGUUUGCGACCUCGAUGUUGAAUUAAGGUAUCCUUAUAAUGCAGCAGUUAUAAAGG
RNAcentral lists this ribosomal RNA (468 nucleotides) under Penaeus monodon (black tiger shrimp). Its description in RNAcentral is "partial 16S ribosomal RNA". It matches the Rfam family "Bacterial large subunit ribosomal RNA", at positions 1856 to 2570 of the family's 2925-position model. Lineage: Eukaryota; Metazoa; Arthropoda; Malacostraca; Decapoda; Penaeidae. The record is from RNAcentral.